RNAcentral lists this ribosomal RNA (489 nucleotides) under uncultured bacterium. Its description in RNAcentral is "bacterial SSU rRNA". It matches the Rfam family "Bacterial small subunit ribosomal RNA", at positions 28 to 511 of the family's 1533-position model. The record is from RNAcentral.
GAUGAACGCUAGCGGCAGGCUUAAUACAUGCAAGUCGAGGGGCAGCAGGGUGUAGCAAUACAUCGCUGGCGACCGGCAAACGGGUGCGGAACACGUACACAACUUUCCUUUAAGUGGGGAUAGCCCAGAGAAAUUUGGAUUAAUACCCCGUAAUAUUAUGAAGUGGCAUCAUUUUAUAAUUAUAGCUCCGGCGCUUGAAGAUGGGUGUGCGGCUGAUUAGGUAGUUGGCGGGGUAACGGCCCACCAAGCCUACGAUCAGUAACUGGUGUGAGAGCACGACCAGUCACACGGGCACUGAGACACGGGCCCGACUCCUACGGGAGGCAGCAGUAAGGAAUAUUGGUCAAUGGACGCAAGUCUGAACCAGCCAUGCCGCGUGAAGGAUGAAGGUCCUCUGGAUUGUAAACUUCUUUUAUAGGGGAANAACCCGAGUAAUUUCUUUUUCGGUGACGGUACCCUAGGAAUAAGCACCGGCUAACUCCGUGCCAG